CUGGCUCAGGACGAACGCUGGCGGCGUGCUUAAUACAUGCAAGUCGAACGGAAUCCAUUCGGUGGUAACACCGAUGAAGAUUUAGUGGCGAACGGGUGCGUAACACGUGAGCAACCUGCCCCAAAGACUGGGAUAACACCGGGAAACCGGUGCUAAUACCGGAUGCCCCCAUUGGUUCGCAUGGACCGAUGAGGAAAGGAUUCUGCUUUGGGAGGGGCUCGCGGCCUAUCAGCUUGUUGGUGAGGUAACGGCUCACCAAGGCGACGACGGGUAGCUGGUCUGAGAGGAUGAUCAGCCACACUGGGACUGAGACACGGCCCAGACUCCUACGGGAGGCAGCAGUAGGGAAUCUUGCGCAAUGGGCGAAAAAGCCUGACGCAGCAACGCCGCGUGGGGGAUGAAGGCCUUCGGGUUGUAAACUCCUUUCAGUAGGAACGAAAUUGACGGUACCUACAGAAGAAGCCCCGGCUAACUACGUGCCAGCAGCAGC
This 490-nucleotide ribosomal RNA is filed under the name uncultured bacterium. Its description in RNAcentral is "bacterial SSU rRNA". It matches the Rfam family "Bacterial small subunit ribosomal RNA", at positions 19 to 518 of the family's 1533-position model. The record is from RNAcentral.